RNAcentral lists this ribosomal RNA (273 nucleotides) under uncultured bacterium. Its description in RNAcentral is "partial 16S ribosomal RNA". It matches the Rfam family "Bacterial small subunit ribosomal RNA", at positions 80 to 339 of the family's 1533-position model. The record is from RNAcentral.
CUAGACGCAUUUUUAGUGGCGGACGGGUGAGUAACACGUGAGCAACCUGCCCGAAAAGUGAGGAAUAGCCCGGGGAAACUCGGAUUAAUACCGCAUAUGAUUCUGCGAGGCAUCUUGUGGCAAUCAAAGCUGGGGAUCGUAAGACCUGGCGCUUUCGGAUGGGCUCGCGGCCUAUCAGCUUGUUGGUAAGGUAACGGCUUACCAAGGCUACGACGGGUAACUGGUCUGAGAGGACGACCAGUCACACUGGAACUGAGACACGGUCCAGACGCC